GUGAAUCAUCGAAUUUUUGAACGCAAAUUGCACUCUCUCCGGAGAGUAUGCCUGUUUGAGGGUCAGCCUAAAAAAAAUCGACAUAGUCGCUGUUACGCGGUAACAUUCGUCGGAAAUUGGGUCAUCUUAAACCUUUGGGUUUUAGCGGCCUAAAAAUUUUUUUUACAUUUCAACAAACGUUUUAAGAAUUUAUUUUUUUAUCCGUUAAAGG
Molecule: unclassified non-coding RNA, 211 nt
Filed under: Glomus sp.
Lineage: Eukaryota; Fungi; Glomeromycota; Glomeromycetes; Glomerales; Glomeraceae
Description: partial contains 5.8S ribosomal RNA and internal transcribed spacer 2
Rfam family: 5.8S ribosomal RNA (bases 1-65)
Source: RNAcentral